UCCAGAAGGGGAAAGCCACAGUGAGCUGGCUGGAUGGCCAAGCCAUGAAGCAGGAGCAGCUGAGUCCUGAGAGAGCAAGAUGGAGAGUGACAAAGUGCAACCACAGGAAGGGACACCAGCCUGGCAGAGCUAAGCUCCAUAUGCGGCCAGAAGGAGGCAAAGGACAAUGAAAGUACAAUUCAGUAUAAGACAAACAAAACAAUCAAGCUAACAAGCAAGGAGGAAGGACCUUCAUGAGCUCGCCAAGGAUCUGAAUCUGCACCCCCAGGAAGUCUUCCUGGCUCUUGAUCCAAAGAUAAUGCACUUUGGAAAAUAUAAGACAUUGUAAUUAUCUAUCACUUAAGGGACAAAAGAGGCCAGAGCUCUUGGAAUCUGUGCAAGGUGGAUCCGGGAACUGUCUAUAGGCAGCAAACAGUGUCCAGUGACAUGGACCAGACACCACAAAGAGACGUUUUCAGGAACUCAAGAAAUGGGGUUCACUGGUUGUUACCUGCAACGCAAGGUAAAGACUGGCAGAAUCUGGAGGAAUUUGCUGG
This is a long non-coding RNA of Mauremys reevesii (Reeves's turtle), 536 nucleotides long. RefSeq lists it as uncharacterized. The transcript has 3 exons. The record is from RefSeq and is a predicted model, not a curated record. Lineage: Eukaryota; Metazoa; Chordata; Testudines; Geoemydidae.